RNAcentral lists this unclassified non-coding RNA (205 nucleotides) under uncultured Ascomycota. RNAcentral's name for it is "sequence contains ITS1". Lineage: Eukaryota; Fungi; Ascomycota. The record is from RNAcentral.
CCGAGUCACGUGCUCAAACAACCCUUCUGUGGACCUAAUUAAAACCGUUGCCUCGGCGGGCGGCCCCACUGCGGGCCGGAUAGACUGGCCGUCUCCGGGGGAAGGAAUCCAUCCCAUCCCCUGAGGCGCCAGCGCCAGCCGCUGGCCCCAAACAAUCAAACUCUAGUAACCUUACCUUCUGAGUUUUAAUGCAAAAAAUAAGUCA